GCACCCGUAGCUCAGCUGGAUAGAGCACCAGACUACGAAUCUGGGGGUCUGAGGUUCGAAUCCUCACGGGUGCGCCA
This 77-nucleotide transfer RNA is filed under the name Hyphococcus flavus. Its description in RNAcentral is "tRNA-Arg". It matches the Rfam family "tRNA". Rfam says of the family: Transfer RNA (tRNA) molecules are approximately 80 nucleotides in length. Their secondary structure includes four short double-helical elements and three loops (D, anti-codon, and T loops). Further hydrogen bonds mediate the characteristic L-shaped molecular structure. tRNAs have two regions of fundamental functional importance: the anti-codon, which is responsible for specific mRNA codon recognition, and the 3' end, to which the tRNAs corresponding amino acid is attached (by aminoacyl-tRNA synthetases). tRNAs cope with the degeneracy of the genetic code in two manners: having more than one tRNA (with a specific anti-codon) for a particular amino acid; and 'wobble' base-pairing, i.e. permitting non-standard base-pairing at the 3rd anti-codon position. The record is from RNAcentral. Lineage: Bacteria; Pseudomonadati; Pseudomonadota; Alphaproteobacteria; Parvularculales; Parvularculaceae. RNAcentral also lists the same sequence under 5 other names.